This 511-nucleotide long non-coding RNA is filed under the name Capsella rubella. RNAcentral's name for it is "long non-coding RNA (CRUB_LNC002865)". Lineage: Eukaryota; Viridiplantae; Streptophyta; Magnoliopsida; Brassicales; Brassicaceae. The record is from RNAcentral.
UUCACAAUUCCAAACACAGAUAUUAUAAGUUCCACAAGAAAAAAGUCAUCUAUGAACUUUAAAUUAACAAAUCAAACUUAAAAACUUGCUGAAAAUAUAAGAGGGGGGGGGGGGUCCAUAUUAUAUCCAGCUAAGCUAAGAGAUGUACAAAGAAGAAGAAAUUGUGAAAACUGGGAACCACGUCAAACAACCCACCACACAUAUUGAGAUUUGGAGAGAGGACCACCAUCUCCAUCUAUACGGCUCUUGGGAUGGACACGUGUCUGACAUCCGAUGGUUGAGUCCCCCGCAUGUGGGCCGAAUCUAAAAAGAGAGCAAAAGACUCGUGUGUCUGUGUGUGUUCGUUCGUUCGGGACUCUGAGUCUCUGACGCACGCAUUUGUACAUAAAGCCUCUUACUACAAAAACCAUAUCCUUUCCGUUGAGUUCCACCUCUCUCCCUCCCUCUUCUAUCUUUCUAGCCGUUGGAUCUCUUUCAUAUCUCUCUACUCUUAAUCCGACGUUCAUUACCC